GACUGAGACACGGCCCAAACUCCUACGGGAGGCAGCAGUAGGGAAUCUUCCACAAUGGACGCAAGUCUGAUGGAGCAACGCCGCGUGAGUGAAGAAGGCUUUCGGGUCGUAAAACUCUGUUGUUGGAGAAGAAUGGUCGGCAGAGUAACUGUUGUCGGCGUGACGGUAUCCAACCAGAAAGCCACGGCUAACUACGUGCCAGCAGCCGCGGUAAUACGUAGGUGGCAAGCGUUAUCCGGAUUUAUUGGGCGUAAAGCGAGCGCAGGCGGUUUUUUAAGUCUGAUGUGAAAGCCCUCGGCUUAACCGAGGAAGCGCAUCGGAAACUGGGAAACUUGAGUGCAGAAGAGGACAGUGGAACUCCAUGUGUAGCGGUGAAAUGCGUAGAUAUAUGGAAGAACACCAGUGGCGAAGGCGGCUGUCUGGUCUGUAACUGACGCUGAGGCUCGAAAGCAUGGGUAGCGAACAGGAUUAGAUACCCUGGUAGUCCAUGCCGUAAACGAUGAAUGCUAGGUGUUGGAGGGUUUCCGCCCUUCAGUGCCGCAGCUAACGCAUUAAGCAUUC
This 561-nucleotide ribosomal RNA is filed under the name Lacticaseibacillus zeae. Its description in RNAcentral is "bacterial SSU rRNA". It matches the Rfam family "Bacterial small subunit ribosomal RNA", at positions 317 to 869 of the family's 1533-position model. Lineage: Bacteria; Bacillati; Bacillota; Bacilli; Lactobacillales; Lactobacillaceae. The record is from RNAcentral.